GCCGGGAUAGCAUAGAGGUUAUGCGGCGGCCUGCAGAGCCGUUUCACGGGGGUUCGAAUCCCCCUCCCGGCU
Molecule: transfer RNA, 72 nt
Filed under: Thermoproteota archaeon
Lineage: Archaea; Thermoproteati; Thermoproteota
Description: Crenarchaeota archaeon (sediment metagenome) tRNA-Cys
Rfam family: tRNA
About the family: Transfer RNA (tRNA) molecules are approximately 80 nucleotides in length. Their secondary structure includes four short double-helical elements and three loops (D, anti-codon, and T loops). Further hydrogen bonds mediate the characteristic L-shaped molecular structure. tRNAs have two regions of fundamental functional importance: the anti-codon, which is responsible for specific mRNA codon recognition, and the 3' end, to which the tRNAs corresponding amino acid is attached (by aminoacyl-tRNA synthetases). tRNAs cope with the degeneracy of the genetic code in two manners: having more than one tRNA (with a specific anti-codon) for a particular amino acid; and 'wobble' base-pairing, i.e. permitting non-standard base-pairing at the 3rd anti-codon position.
Source: RNAcentral